This 535-nucleotide unclassified non-coding RNA is filed under the name Hevea brasiliensis (rubber tree). The record is from RNAcentral. Lineage: Eukaryota; Viridiplantae; Streptophyta; Magnoliopsida; Malpighiales; Euphorbiaceae.
CAAGCCUCAUGUUUUGCUGUCAACAAGAUAAACGGUCAGUGCUUAGAAAAUUAGACAUUUAAAACAGAAAGAGGAAAGAGUUGAUAGAGAAGCAAAAAUCAUAAGGAAAAGGUAGAAAUCAGAAGACAACUUACUUGAUUUGGACAUGCACGUCUGGUGAAUGGGGACCACUUCAAGUGGUUUUCCCUCUUUUCCUCUCAGUUAUGCUUUUCUAUAUUCUUCAAUCACAACCCUCUUACACCUUAAUAGCAGGCAACCCAAAACAACAACCUAAAAAAAGAAAAAAUGAAGCCAAGAAGAAAAUUUUCUAAUACUGUAAACUCAACCCCUAAUAUUCAUGCAUGAAAUUCACUAGUUGCAAAGAAAACAAAAUCUUUAAUAAAAAUGGCAGAGAGAAGGAGAAGCAAACCCACGUUGAUGACUGUGAAAUUCUCCUUCUGGAGGCGAUAGAGUACACAGACUUUGGAACUUCUCGUCCCACUCAGCGACCCCGUUGUCCCGUCCAAAAAAACUCCACUUCUUUGGUGAAAUUCCU